AGUGAACGCUGGCGGUAGGCCUAACACAUGCAAGUCGAACGGCAGCACAGGAGAGCUUGCUCUCUGGGUGGCGAGUGGCGGACGGGUGAGGAAUACAUCGGAAUCUACUUUUUCGUGGGGGAUAACGUAGGGAAACUUACGCUAAUACCGCAUACGACCUACGGGUGAAAGCCGGGGACCUUCGGGCCUUGCGCGAUUGACUGAGCCGAUGUCGGAUUAGCUAGUUGGCGGGGUAAAGGCCCACCAAGGCGACGAUCCGUAGCUAGUCUGAGAGGGUGAGCGGCCAAACUGGAACGGAGACAGGGUCCAGACUCCUACGGGGGGCAGCAGUGGGGAAUAUUGGACAAUGGGCUCAAGCCUGAUCCAGCCAUACUGCGUGGGUGAAGAAGGCCUUCGGGUUGUAAAGCCCUUUUGUUGGGAAAGAAAUCCAGCUGGCUAAUACCCGGUUGGGAUGACGGUACCCAAAGAAUAAGCACCGGCUAACUUCGUGCCAGCCGCCGCCGUAA
Molecule: ribosomal RNA, 506 nt
Filed under: uncultured bacterium
Lineage: Bacteria
Description: partial 16S ribosomal RNA
Rfam family: Bacterial small subunit ribosomal RNA
Source: RNAcentral